Molecule: unclassified non-coding RNA, 240 nt
Filed under: soil metagenome
Description: partial contains 5.8S ribosomal RNA, internal transcribed spacer 2, and large subunit ribosomal RNA
Source: RNAcentral
AACAUCGCGCACCUGCGGGAACCUGCGGAGGGAUCAUUACAGGGUUGCAAAACUCCCUAAACCAUUGUGAACGUUACCUAAACCGUUGCUUCGGCGGGCGGCCCGGGUCCUUCCCGGCGCCCCUCGGCCCUCGCGGGCGCCCGCCGGAGGUAAACCAAACUAUUGCAUUGUAUGGCCUCUCUGAGUCUUCUGUACUGAAUAAGUCAAAACUUUCAGCAACGGAUCUCAGAUCGGAAGAGC